RNAcentral lists this non-coding RNA (29 nucleotides) under Mus musculus (house mouse). Lineage: Eukaryota; Metazoa; Chordata; Mammalia; Rodentia; Muridae. The record is from RNAcentral.
UGAGUUCCAUCUCUUCUGUGCAAGCCUGC